Molecule: ribosomal RNA, 412 nt
Filed under: Macaca tonkeana (Tonkean macaque)
Lineage: Eukaryota; Metazoa; Chordata; Mammalia; Primates; Cercopithecidae
Description: partial 12S ribosomal RNA
Rfam family: Bacterial small subunit ribosomal RNA
Source: RNAcentral
CUCUAGAGGAGCCUGUUCCAUAAUCGAUAAACCCCGAUCCACCUCACCCUCUCUUGCUUAGCCUAUAUACCGCCAUCUUCAGCAAACCCUGAUAAAGGUUACAAAGUGAGCACAAACGCCCUACCGCCGCAAAAACGUUAGGUCAAGGUGUAGCCCAUGAGAGGGUAAAAAUGGGCUACAUUUUCUACAUCAGAAAACCCCCACGAAAACUCUUAUGAAACCUGAGAGUCCAAGGAGGAUUUAGCAGUAAAUUAAGAAUAGAGUGCUUAAUUGAACCAGGCCAUAAAGCGCGUACACACCGCCCGUCACUCCCCUCAAAUGUACUUAAAGGACAUCUUAACUAAACACCCUAACAUUUACAUAGAGGGGAUAAGUCGUAACAUGGUAAGUGUACUGGAAGGUGCACUUGGAU